GUUGUAGUGUGGUAUACUGUAGAUAGUGGUGUUGUAGUGUGGUAUACUGUAGAUAGUGGUGUUGUAUACUGUAGAUAGUGGUGUUGUAGUGUUGUAUACUGUAGAUAGUGGUGUAGUGGUGUUGUAUACUGUAGAUAGUGGUGUUGUAGUGUGGUAUACUGUAGAUAGUGGUGUUGUAGUGUUGUAUACUGUAGAUAGUGGUGUUGUAUACUGUAGAUAGUGGUGUUGUAGUGUUGUAUACUGUAGAUAGUGGUGUUGUAUACUGUAGAUAGUGGUGUUGUAGUGUUGUAUACUGUAGAUAGUGGUGUUGUAUACUGUAGAUAGUGGUGUUGUAGUGUUGUAU
Oncorhynchus tshawytscha (Chinook salmon) is the source of this 343-nucleotide long non-coding RNA. The record is from Ensembl. NCBI's taxonomy places the organism in Eukaryota, Metazoa, Chordata, Actinopteri, Salmoniformes, Salmonidae.